Molecule: ribosomal RNA, 254 nt
Filed under: uncultured bacterium
Lineage: Bacteria
Description: partial 16S ribosomal RNA
Rfam family: Bacterial small subunit ribosomal RNA
Source: RNAcentral
UACGGGGGGGGCAAGCGUUGUUCGGAAUUACUGGGCGUAAAGGGCUCGUAGGCGGCCAACUAAGUCAGACGUGAAAUCCCCAGGCUCAACCUGGGAACUGCAUUGGUGACUGGCAGGCUUUGAGUGUGGCAGAGGGAGGUAGAAUUCCACGUGUAGCAGUGAAAUGCGUAGAGAUGUGGAGGAAUACCGAUGGCGAAGGCAGCCUCCUGGGCCAACACUGACGCUGAGGAGCGAAAGCCAGGGGAGCAAACGGG